This is a long non-coding RNA of Portunus trituberculatus (swimming crab), 829 nucleotides long. RefSeq lists it as uncharacterized. The record is from RefSeq and is a predicted model, not a curated record. The transcript is spliced from 6 exons. NCBI's taxonomy places the organism in Eukaryota, Metazoa, Arthropoda, Malacostraca, Decapoda, Portunidae.
AGGAUGUCUAUCUCCUGCCGGACCUCCGCCUUCACAAUCUCCAACACAUUGUGGAAGGCUUCUUGAGGGGACAGCCGAGUCACCUCAUCGUUCGGCCCUGCUGGGAUAUCAUAAGAGAUGGAGUACUAUUGUGUGGAGAAAGCCGCCGAGCCUCACCGAGCAGGCGUCCUUGCCCUCAAUGCCACCGGCACACAGGAAAGAGUUGCUAUCCAACACGAAAUCUUCUCCUAGUCGUGUCCUUCUCAGGCGACUCUGGCAGGUGAAUCGCUCCACAAUGGGGACGUCCACCUCCUUCAGGAUGCUUUGGAAUCGGCCACUUUCGAAGUUGUCUUUUCCCCAUCCUGACACGAAGCACCUGCAGGGGAAAGAAUUCGUCAGAGUGGCGUUUCCUGACCCGUAGUCCUUCAGUGUGUCGAAGGUGAAUUCCUCCAACUAGUCAGUCAUGAACUGCCUCCUAGUCAAGUCUCCUGUUCAGGACCAGGCAGAAAGGAAAACGACUGAGAAACUUCAUUAGGAACCACCAAUAUCUACAAGCCCGUGCCUUUACGUAGAACACCUGCAUGCAGUGAAAGACUACUCAAUAUUGCUGCUAUGUAUUGCAGCAUCAUCAGGUCAGCAAACACUGGUUAUAUCAUCUGAUGGUUGGUGUUAAAGGAAUCCAACAUCACAAAUCUGAGUGGACUUAAUGCAUGAUGAAGCAAAGCACCACUGCUGCAGAACGCAUCCACCAUCCAUCAAGCAACAUGGCCUUGUCUGUGCCAUGGUGACGACCAAUACUCAAGGUCUCCAGAAGGGGAUCCAGCCAGACCACACUGCCACACCAUACAUC